UGCCACAAUGAUGACACUUAUUUGCUACUCUUGAUUAGAAUGAUGAGAAUGCUCAACCACCCUAUAAUUGAAACUGAGGCA
RNAcentral lists this small nucleolar RNA (81 nucleotides) under Podarcis muralis (Common wall lizard). Its description in RNAcentral is "Small nucleolar RNA SNORD24 (ENSPMRG00000001948.1)". It matches the Rfam family "Small nucleolar RNA SNORD24". Rfam says of the family: U24 is a member of the C/D class of snoRNA which contain the C (UGAUGA) and D (CUGA) box motifs. The record is from RNAcentral. Lineage: Eukaryota; Metazoa; Chordata; Lepidosauria; Squamata; Lacertidae.